RNAcentral lists this ribosomal RNA (513 nucleotides) under uncultured bacterium. Its description in RNAcentral is "partial 16S ribosomal RNA". It matches the Rfam family "Bacterial small subunit ribosomal RNA", at positions 28 to 523 of the family's 1533-position model. The record is from RNAcentral.
GAUGAACACUGGCGGCGUGCCUAAUACAUGCAAGUCGAACGCACAGCGAAAGGUGCUUGCACCUUUCAAGUGAGUGGCGAACGGGUGAGUAACACGUGGACAACCUGCCUCAAGGCUGGGGAUAACAUUUGGAAACAGAUGCUAAUACCGAAUAAAACUUAGUGUCGCAUGACACAAAGUUAAAAGGCGCUUUGGCGUCACCUAGAGAUGGAUCCGCGGUGCAUUAGUUAGUUGGUGGGGUAAAGGCCUACCAAGACAAUGAUGCAUAGCCGAGUUGAGAGACUGAUCGGCCACAUUGGGACGGAGACACGGCCCAAACUCCUACGGGAGGCUGCAGUAGGGAAUCUUCCACAAUGGGCGAAAGCCUGAUGGAGCAACGCCGCGUGUGUGAUGAAGGCUUUCGGGUCGUAAAGCACUGUUGUAUGGGAAGAACAGCUAGAAUAGGGAAUGAUUUUAGUUUGACGGUACCAUACCAGAAAGGGACGGCUAAAUACGUGCCAGCCGCCGCCGUAA